Nematolebias whitei (Rio pearlfish) is the source of this 246-nucleotide long non-coding RNA. RefSeq lists it as uncharacterized. The transcript is spliced from 3 exons. The record is from RefSeq and is a predicted model, not a curated record. NCBI's taxonomy places the organism in Eukaryota, Metazoa, Chordata, Actinopteri, Cyprinodontiformes, Rivulidae.
CUGGAGAAACAGAAGGAAGAGGGGCUGAAGAGGCGCAUCGUCUGCUUCACUAUCGAUGAGAAAGUACCAAUGUUUGGUUUGGAGGCUGUUUUCCGAAACGGUGUUCCCGUUGGUCACCUGCGACGAUCCGAAUAUGGCUUUUUUAUAGACAAAACUCUUGCUUAUGGAUACAUCCGCAACCCUAAUGCAGGAGUGGUGAGUGCCGAUUUCAUUAAGAGUGGCGAGUUCACCCUGGAGAGGAUGGGA